CAGCUGGAGGAGCUGUGGCAGCAGGAGCGAGGCCCGGGAGAGGACUGAGGGUACUCAAUGCCAAGGAGCCCGACAGCAUCUCCUUGCUGGGACACAGCUGGAAGGUGGCCAUCAUCCUGUUCAGAGUGAAGAAUGUUUCCAUCCAUCCAUCCAAGCUCCAUCUAUCCAUCCAUCCAUCCAUCCAAGCUCCAUCCAUCCAUCCAUCCAUCCAUCCAUCCAAGCUCCAUCCAUCCAUCCAUCCAAGCUCACCGGACAAAAAAAUGAGUCACCUGUGACUGAAAUGUACCUAAUAGUGUGUAAACCCUCCACGAGCAUGUAUACCAGCUGUAAUUUGAUUGGCCUGGACCGGACAAGUUUCUAGAUGUGGCCGACGUGGAUGUUCAGCCACUCUUGCAUCAAAGAAUUGUUCAGAUCGGCCAGAUUUCGUGAAGCUUUCCCUGGCGUCUUCAGGUCAUCCCACAGACUUACAAGAGGAUUCAAAUCUGGGGAUUUAGCCGGUCCAGGUGUGUGAAUGAUCCUGGAAGUUCAUCAUGCCAAUCAGAGACAGUUAUAGCCCUGUGAAUGCGUCAUCUUGGAAUACAGGGAUAGGAAUGUCUCUUGCUAAGAUGAUGAGCAAAAGGCAAAACCCGGUUGCCCACCAGACGUCGGCCCUGUGGUUCGAAUUUAUGGUCACCUCAACCAAAGAACCCAUUUCCAUUUAAUUAAAACAUCCCCAGAACAUCAGAGCUACUCCAGCUUGAACACCACCCACCUGCACACAGUCCUCACUGAAGGAUUCCUGAGGUCUACGAUGGACACAACACCCAGCAUCAUUCACACACAGGAUUCAUCUGACCAGAUAACACGUUUCCAGUCAUGAACAGUCCAGUUGGUGGGCCUCUUCGCCUACUGUGUCCAGGCAACCUUGUGGGCAGAAAUGAGCAAAGGCCUCUUAUGUGCCACCGCAUACGUUCACGGUAUGCGAUUCCUUGUGGAGAGUUCUUUCAGAAAUUGGUUGUGAAGAACCUGCAUUGACUGCUAGAAGCAAUUCUUGCCUGGAAGUGAUGCAGAUUUUCUUCUGUAAAAUUUCAUCUUGACCUGCCGGAUCUUAAGACAAAAACACAGGAAGUGUCACAGCCUCAUAGGUUAAAAGACUGUGAGGAAUUUAAUACUAAUGUAAAAAAUAAUACUUUGAUAGUGUAAAAAAUAGCGCACCCAACAAUAAAGGCAGCUUUGUGCGACGUUGUGUGACAGAAGCACAGUUGUGCACAGAAAACUGUAAUAUGCUGCAUGUUUAUGUAUCACUGUGGUCAACGUUAAUGUGCCUGAGCUGUAAAUUCCUCUGGGGGCAGAUUUAAAUGAGUUCAAUCAAAAUUCGCAGAAUAAAUUACAGGAAAGCUCUGGGCUCGGAGGCAUGUGAGAUGGACCGUCACCCCGUGGAAACGUGUUCUGCGGUCAGGCGAACGAGUAUUUCAGGUCUUUUCGGGAAUAAACGGGCACCAUGUGCUCUGGACUUCAGUCCUUAAAAGAGGAAAGUGGUAAAUGCUUUGCUGUCCGACCUUUUUUCAAAAUAUGCUGCAAUAAUCCAAAUUUAAUUAAUAAUCCAGUGUUUGCUUUUAAAAAUAAUAAA
Long non-coding RNA from Pygocentrus nattereri (red-bellied piranha), 1609 nucleotides. The record is from Ensembl. Lineage: Eukaryota; Metazoa; Chordata; Actinopteri; Characiformes; Serrasalmidae.